RNAcentral lists this long non-coding RNA (1397 nucleotides) under Catharus ustulatus (Swainson's thrush). RNAcentral describes it as "lncRNA (ENSCUSG00005011937.1)". The record is from RNAcentral. Lineage: Eukaryota; Metazoa; Chordata; Aves; Passeriformes; Turdidae.
GACGAGGUGUCGUUCCAGGACGGGGACACGAUCAUCAACGUGCAGCAGAUCGAUGACGGCUGGAUGUACGGCACGGUGGAGCGCACGGGGGACACGGGCAUGCUCCCGGCCAACUACGUGGAGGCCAUCUGAGCCCGGGGCCACCUCCUGCCCGCCCUGUCCCCUCCCCCCCGUGCGCCUCCUGUCCCCUCCCGCUGUCCCCGUGUCCCCUCCGGCUCCGGUUUUCUCUCGCCGGUUCAAAGCUCCGGGGCUUUCCUGCUCCUGUCCCUGGUGGGGGGAACCUCCAGAAAUCCCAGAAAAGGGACAGGGACAGGGACAGGCCACAUCAGGACCAAAUCCACGCUGUGGGGUGGGAGAGGCGAGGGGGGCUCAUCCCGAGGGUGUCCUGGGGCUCAUCCUGAGCUUGCCCUGGGCUCAGGGAUGAGUUUCCAGCUCCUCAGGCUCGUCCCGAGGUUGCCUUGAGCUCAGGGAUGAGUUUGCAGCUCCUCAGGCUCACCCCAAGGUUGCCCUGGGCUCAGGGAUGAGUUUGCAGCUCCUGGGGCUCAUCCCGAGAUUGCCCUGAGCUCAGGGAUGGGUUUAAAGCUCCUGGGGCUCAUCCAAGCUUGCCCUGAGCUCAGGGAUGAGUUUAAAGCUCCUCAGGCUCGUCCCGAGGUUGCCCUGAGCUCAGGGAUGGGUUUGCAUCUCCUCAGGCUCAUCCUGAGUGCCCUGGGCUCAGGGAUGGGUUUAAAGCUCCUCAGGCUCAUCCUGAGGUUGCCCUGGGCUUGGGGCUGGGUUUGGAAUGAGCCCCCCCUGGAACUGGGCUGAGCCCCCUGCAGCUCCAGCUCGCUCUGGGCUGGGCUCUGGGAGUGUCCUGGGGGCUCCUUUUCCUGCCCCCCCCCAGAAUUUUCCUGCUUUUCUCCUGCUGCUGCUGAGUGCUGCCACCACCCUGGUGCUGCCACCACUGUCCCCUGACCCCAUUGUCCCCUGGCCAUUGUCCCCUGGCCCCUGUGCCACCCCGAGCCCCCUGCACCUCUCAUUCCCAGCAGAUUUUCGGGACCACUUUGGGAUGGUGUCACGGACCAAAACCUCAAAGCCACCUCCCUGUCCCCUCCUCCUGAGGGGUAAAACUGGAACUGGGCCGGGAGGGAGGAGCAGGAACCUCUGCAGGGUCCGGGGGCAGGGCUGGGGACAGCGGGGAUGUCCCCAAGGGGGGGUGGGACAAACGGGAAUAAGGGACCAAAGGCAGCACGUGAAACAUUCCCUGCUCCUGCUGGGGACACGGCCUUGGGGACACCUCCCUUCCUCGGGGCUGGGAUUGGGGACAGGGAAAAGGGAAUCCUGGCUGCAGUGGGGUGGGGACAGGGAUUUAGGGUGACACAGGAGCAGCCAGGAUGGGAAUUCCAGCUGCAGGGGACAGG